CCUUCUGGCAAGUAGUUUGGAUUUCAUGUUAGCUCGCUACAUUUUGAAAACCGUAAAACAGGGUGGCACUAGUGCUGCCUUCAUUGCUUUGGUUUCAGUUAUUCAGUUAAUUUUGUGAUGCCAGUGUUUGUCUUGGACACUUAGUUGCUUCAAAGACACGAUUAACUAAAAGACGCAUUUGAUAUUUUACCGACUGUAAUUAGAACAUAUAUUCUAUGCGACAUCGCGAUUGUUAGGGUCUGUAGCAGCCGAUAUUAUAACUACAGUCAAUGUAAUUGCUGCCAAUAGCGUAAUAAUUUUUCCUAUUUUGUGUAAUAAAAAUCGAUAAGGUGAUGCGUUGAUUCAGAAAUGUUAGUACGGUAUGGGUAAAUUAUUUAACCGCUUUUACUACAUUGACAACAGAGAAUGAUUAUGUUACUGGCAGUUAUUACAUUAACAGUAUUACAUUAUUGAAUGCUACAGGGUCUUGUAGGUCUAAUGCACGAACUACAGAGCAUUAACAUUAGAUAUGCCGGUAUCACAUCUGAUUAGGCGAAAGAUAAGUUUUAUUGCCCCUUCUCAUUUCAUAGCUAGUUAACGUUUACAGGAUAACUAUUACUGCAAGUUCCGAUGUAAGCUACCAUUCACACACACAAGUGGAAGUAUUAAAAUGCUAGGGCAGAGCAGACGCAGCCAUUGCAGCCUUAGCUCCUGUCUGCUACUGGACGCGCGUCGCACUGAGCCAUUAAAGCGCCGGUAGGACUGAUGGCUCCGGAUACUUGUUGGUUGUUAGAAAAUAACUCAGUUACGGUAAAUAAAGUAAAGAAUUGUGAGGGGGGGAAGUCAGGAUUUAGACUUAAUUCUGAGAUAAAUGUGUUUUCUCCUCCAGAUGGCGGAAACGGGCUUCCAUACCAUGCAGACAGACACCCUAUUUAAAGUUACCUACGCGUCCUCUGCAGGCAGUGUCCAUGUAUACGGGCAAAAGCGUUUGCACUAGCGUAUAACAAAAAUCACUAUUGCUUCAAUGCAACUGAUGACCGCAAGAAUCACAAUUUGGGUGGAAAUACUGUAAAAAUUUCAGAUAAAAAAAAUCUUAAAAACUACUGUCUGAACUGACUACCGAUCGCCAUUUAGUACCAAAAGAACCUGGUUCGAUUCCACGAUAAAAAAAAAAAUGUUGCCAGCCAUUGCACAUUCAAAAGAAUACUGCUAAUAUUGGUGUAUUUACCCACGAAGCAUUUUAUAGCCACCCCGUUUACUUCUGGGCACAUUUCUAACCGCGAUUAUCUUAAUAUACAAAGAUAACAGGCGAAGGUUUACCCACGUCUCAGCACGCAUUAUACGCUGCCCCCAAAAUUCGCAGUCAGGGAAAACGGCUUCAAUCUACGUUAAUGAAGCAGCUUCUACCCGUCGCCGCUUCCAGUUUCAACUCCGGCUAGCUAAAAACUCCGUUUCCCCCCUCCACCGGUGGGAGAGAGAGCCGGGGGUGAGCUGGGAGUCGGUCUGAGACGGCGCGUCGCCUCGCCUCGCCUUGCCGUCCAAUCGGCGGCGCGGCGCAGACUCCCGGCAUGCCCGGCCCGGCAGGGCGGGGGCGGCUCCGGCUGCUCUGGCCGAUUUGAAUGUGGAGACCAGGUUUCGGCGCCAUUUUCGAGUGGGGAGCGAUUAUAGCGGCGGCGGGCAGGGAGAGCUGUCGGGGUGGCCGAGCCGACGCUCUUCGCCUUUCAUAACUCUUGUUAUUUUUUAAGUAUUAAAAACUUCUAGAAAUGAAAUGAAAUGCGGACGGUAAGGGGGGAGUGUAGAGGGAGCCGCAUGAGGGGAGGAUACGGACUAACGGAGAAUAAGGCGUACGAGACGGGGGACGUUAACCGAAGAAAGGCAAAUGCGGAUUCCGGGGUUAACAAAUACCCGGAAAAUCUUAAAAAAUAACAUCCGAAAAAAUAUGUAAAAAUGUUUAAAAAUUUUCUCAAGCACAUGUCGUUGGAUUUGAGGUGUUUACGCUUGAACCGAAGCCGUUUUUGGUGCUUUUUUACGUUAAGUUUGAGCGGGAGUGGCGACGGGCUGUCAUCGCCGCGAGCUAGUUAACCAGCUAAUCUUAACUAGGGAACACUGGUUACACUCGCGGCAUUUCCACUUUUAUUUUAUAAUUACUAUUUUAUGAUUUUUUUUAGAAAGACUACCAUGCAGCUAGAUUCGAAUGGCUAUUUGCAUAAUAUUUUUUCAGGUUUUUUUUUUCUUUCACCCUCAUUUUCUGGUGAAGAGACGCUUGUUUUGAAGCCGUAUCUUUCGGAGCCUUUGUGGUCUUGCUGCUGCCAGAGGUGGACUUCAACACUGGGAAUCUGCUUAAGUGAGGUCUGGUAGUGCUGUAGCAGCACAGAAUGGUUUGUGGGAGUUCCUGGGACGCAGACCGUCCUGUGCUGCCUCAGUAAUGCCUGGACAGACAUUGCAAAAAGGCAAAACACAUGUAAAGCAGUGUGGGAGAACUAGAAAAGCAGACUGAGCACAGGUCUUCAUCCUGCGUCUGGCCGCCAUGCUGUAGCAGCACGUAAAUAUUGGAGUUCAAACCCUGCUGAUGCCUCCAGUAUUGCUCGUGCUGCUGGAGUAAAAGCUAGCCACUGCCAUCUGUUGGCCAUUCCUCAUCAAGUGAAUUCAAAAAGGGCAGUCAUGCAGUCCUUACACACCAAUUACUAAAAGAGAAGUCUUGAGUUCAUUGUCUAAUGGUAAUUGUGUGGUAAAUAGCAGUUUGUGUCUUUUAGAACAGAGGUAAUUGUCUUUUGGGUGCCCAUUACUUGGCUGCCCAGUGAACGAAGUGAAACUCUCACAAGGCAGAAACAAACCUUUUUAAUGUGAAUGUCAUUGUAUUUUUACUUUCAAAUAAAUCCCCACUUUAUAAUUCAAA
Long non-coding RNA from Paramormyrops kingsleyae, 2875 nucleotides. RefSeq lists it as uncharacterized. The record is from RefSeq and is a predicted model, not a curated record. NCBI's taxonomy places the organism in Eukaryota, Metazoa, Chordata, Actinopteri, Osteoglossiformes, Mormyridae.